AGCAGCCGCGGUAAUUCCAGCUCCAAUAGCGUAUAUUAAAGUUGUUGCAGUUAAAAGCUCGUAGUUGAAUUUCGGGGUUAGUAGGUUGGUCAUGCCUCUGGUAUGUACUGGUCUCACUGAUUCCUCCUUCCUGAUGAACCGUAAUGCCAUUAAUUUGGUGUUGCGGGGAAUUUGGACUGUUACUUUGAAAAAAUUAGAGUGUUUAAAGCAAGCUAACGCUUGAAUACAUUAGCAUGGAAUAAUGAAAUAGGACGUUCGAUCCUAUUUUGUUGGUUUCUAGGAUUGACGUAAUGAUUAAUAGGGAUAGUUGGGGGCAUUAGUAUUCAAUUGUCAGAGGUGAAAUUCUUGGAUUUAUUGAAGACUAACUACUGCGAAAGCAUUUGCCAAGGAUGUUUUCAUUAAUCAAGAACGAAAGUUAGGGGAUCGAAGACGAUCAGAUACCGUCGUAGUCUUAACCAUAAACUAUGCCGACUAGGGAUCGGAUGAUGUUAAUUUUUUAAUGACUCAUUCGGCGCCUUAC
Molecule: ribosomal RNA, 520 nt
Filed under: uncultured Glomus
Lineage: Eukaryota; Fungi; Glomeromycota; Glomeromycetes; Glomerales; Glomeraceae
Description: SSU rRNA
Rfam family: Eukaryotic small subunit ribosomal RNA
Source: RNAcentral